Orbicella faveolata is the source of this 1220-nucleotide non-coding RNA. NCBI's taxonomy places the organism in Eukaryota, Metazoa, Cnidaria, Anthozoa, Scleractinia, Merulinidae. The record is from RefSeq and is a predicted model, not a curated record.
AUGAUCUCUUACAGCUAUGAGAACUCCAUUGCCUCACCGGUUGCUUCUAUCCUUCCGAAAAAGUCUUGUUAUCACUGCUGUGUUAUGAAGUGUAAUGGUGACUCACAUUAUGAUAGUUCCCUAAGGUUUCAUUGAAUCCCGUCAAAGACAAAGGAUGCAAAACUGAGAACUGCUUGGCUAGUAAAAAUAUGGAGGGAUGAAGGACCCAAUUUAUUUUCAUCAGAUGAUGACUCCAUUAAGUUCUAUACUGGUUUCCCAACUUAUAAACACUUAACACUUUUUUAUGACUUUGUUAAACCAAAUGCUGAAACCAUGGUUUACUGCUAUGCUUCAGGGGAAAGACCAAGUAGACCUGAAGUAAGAUCUAUGCAGCUCAUUGAUGAAAUGUUUUUGUUCCUGGUCCGACUCAAACUGGGGCUGUUUGAGCAAGAUCUAGCCCAUCGUUUCCAGAUUCACCCCAACUUAUCAAGCAGGAAAGUGACUACAUGGGCAAACUACCUGUACUUUACCCUAGGAGGUCAGUGUAUCUGGCCAUCAAAGCAUGAUAUUCAGAAUAAUAUGCCAGAGGCAUUUCAUCGUCUUUAUCCAACUACAAGAGUGAUACUAGACUGUACUGAAAUUUUUGUACAAACACCUACAUCAUUGUUACUCCAGUCACAGCUUUAUUCCAGUUAUAAGAGCAACACAACACUGAAGGGAUUAAUCGGAAUUACCCCACAUGGUGCAGUUUCAUUUAUUUCCUCAUUAUACACAGGAUCAAUUUCAGACAAGGAAAUAACUAGAUGUAGUGGAAUUCUAGAUUUACUAGAGCAUGGUGAUUCCGUAAUGGCCGACAAAGGUUUUAAUAUAGAUGACUUACUUAAGGAAAAGGGGGUUGGGCUUAACAUUCCCCCUUUCCUUCAGAGUCAGGCACAAUUUUCUGCUCAAGAUGUUCAUGAAACAAAAACAAUUGCAAAGUUGAGAAUCCAUGUUGAAAGAGCCAUUCGAAGAAUUAAAGAAUUUCAUUUUUUUGAUUCAGAAGUUCCUCUGUCAAGCCUUGGCUCUGUCAAUCAGCUGUACACUGUAGCCUGCCUACUAACCAAUUUUCAAGGACCUUUAAUUUUAAAUAGUACUGGAAAAACUUAAUAAAUAAUAUUGAUAUUAUCGUAAGUAACAUCUCUUGGGAAUGGAACGUUUUGUCACUCUGGAACUACCGGUAAUAAAAAAUAUGCCACAAUUUG